Molecule: ribosomal RNA, 494 nt
Filed under: uncultured bacterium
Lineage: Bacteria
Description: partial 16S ribosomal RNA
Rfam family: Bacterial small subunit ribosomal RNA
Source: RNAcentral
GACGAACGCUGGCGGCGUGCUUAACACAUGCAAGUCGAACGGUGAAGCGCCUUCCUUUUUGGUGGGUGUGGAUGAGUGGCGAACGGGUGAGUAACACGUGAGUAACCUGCCCCUUUCUUCUGGAUAACCGCAUGAAAGUGUGGCUAAUACGGGAUAUUCUGUGUCUGUCGAAUGAUGGGUCCGGGGAAGCUAUUGUUUCGGAGUGGGCUGGGCUCGCGGACUAUCAGGUUGUUGGUGGGGUGAUGGCCUACCAAGGCGGUGCCGGGUAGCCGGCCUGAGAGGGUGGACGGCCACACAGGGACUGAGCGACGGCGCAGACUACUACGGGAGGCAGCAGGGAAGAUUAUUGAACAGUGGGCACAAGGCUGAUGCAGCGACGCGGCGUGAGAGAUGGACGCCUUCUGGUUGUGAACCUCUUUCGCCAGUGAAGCGGGGCUGCCUCGUUUGUCGGUGGGUUGACGGUACCUGGAGAAGAAGCACCGGCUAACUACGUG